This 393-nucleotide ribosomal RNA is filed under the name uncultured bacterium. RNAcentral's name for it is "bacterial SSU rRNA". It matches the Rfam family "Bacterial small subunit ribosomal RNA", at positions 527 to 922 of the family's 1533-position model. The record is from RNAcentral.
GGAGGAUCCGAGCGUUAUCCGGAUUUAUUGGGUUUAAAGGGAGCGUAGAUGGAUGUUUAAGUCAGUUGUGAAAGUUUGCGGCUCAACCGUAAAAUUGCAGUUGAUACUGGAUGUCUUGAGUGCAGUUGAGGCAGGCGGAAUUCGUGGUGUAGCGGUGAAAUGCUUAGAUAUCACGAAGAACUCCGAUUGCGAAGGCAGCCUGCUAAGCUGCAACUGACAUUGAGGCUCGAAAGUGUGGGUAUCAAACAGGAUUAGAUACCCUGGUAGUCCACACAGUAAACGAUGAAUACUCGCUGUUUGCGAUAUACAGUAAGCGGCCAAGCGAAAGCAUUAAGUAUUCCACCUGGGGAGUACGCCGGCAACGGUGAAACUCAAAGGAAUUGACGGCCGUCA